GCCCAGUAUAGCUCAGUUAGUAGAGUGUUUUCCUAGCAUGCACAAGGCCCUGGGUUCAAUCCCCAGCACCA
Molecule: transfer RNA, 71 nt
Filed under: Marmota monax (woodchuck)
Lineage: Eukaryota; Metazoa; Chordata; Mammalia; Rodentia; Sciuridae
Description: tRNA.Ala
Source: RNAcentral